This 380-nucleotide unclassified non-coding RNA is filed under the name soil metagenome. Its description in RNAcentral is "partial contains 5.8S ribosomal RNA, internal transcribed spacer 2, and large subunit ribosomal RNA". The stretch from base 1 to 120 matches the Rfam family "5.8S ribosomal RNA", at positions 35 to 154 of the family's 154-position model. The record is from RNAcentral.
GAUGAAGAACGCAGCGAAGUGCGAUAAGUAAUGUGAAUUGCAGAAUUCCGUGAAUCAUCGAAUCUUUGAACGCAAAUUGCACUUUCUGGUAUUCCGGAGAGUAUGCCUGUUUGAGGUUCAGUGUAAUAAAUAAAUCGUGGUUGUUACCACCUUUCGUGGUGACGCUUCGGAAUUGAGUCGUCUUACCUUCGGGUUAAGUGACUUAAAAUUUUUUUCAUACGAUUUCGAAACGUAUUUAAUGUAUUAUGUACGUACGUUCACGAAUAUCGAAUGUUUAUUAGGUGCGGUCAUUUUUCAUGAAUCGUGUCUAUAAUUUUUUUUUUUGACCUCAAAUCAGGUAAGAAUACCCGCUGAACUUAAGCAUAUCAAUAAGCGGAGGA